This 253-nucleotide ribosomal RNA is filed under the name uncultured bacterium. Its description in RNAcentral is "partial 16S ribosomal RNA". It matches the Rfam family "Bacterial small subunit ribosomal RNA", at positions 524 to 776 of the family's 1533-position model. The record is from RNAcentral.
UACGAAGGGGGCUAGCGUUGCUCGGAAUCACUGGGCGUAAAGCGCACGUAGGCGGAUUGCUAAGUCAGGGGUGAAAUCCUGGAGCUCAACUCCAGAACUGCCCUUGAUACUGGCGGUCUCGAGUCCGGGAGAGGUGAGUGGAACUGCGAGUGUAGAGGUGAAAUUCGUAGAUAUCUGGAGGAACACCGGUGGCGAAGGCGGCGUUCUGGACUGCAACUGACACUGAAAAACGAAAGCCAGGGGAGCAAACGGG